Molecule: ribosomal RNA, 1240 nt
Filed under: human gut metagenome
Description: bacterial LSU rRNA
Rfam family: Bacterial large subunit ribosomal RNA
Source: RNAcentral
ACAUUCAAAGAGUGCGUAAUAGCUCACUAGUCGAGAGGUCCUGCGCCGAAAAUGUCCGGGGCUGAAACACGACACCGAAGCUUAGGAAUCACAUAGUGAUUGGUAGAGGAGCAUUCUUAAAACCGACGAAGCUGUACCGGAAGGAGCAGUGGAGGGAUAAGAAGAGAGAAUGCCGGAAUGAGUAGCGAGAGGAAGGUGGGAAUCCUUCCGGCCGAAUAUCUAAGGUUUCCAGAGUAAAGCUGAUCUGCUCUGGGUAAGUCGGGGCCUAAGCACAGGUCGCAAGACGUAAGCGAUGGAUAACAGGUUUAGAUUCCUGUACCACGCAUUAUCAGAACUGUAGGGACGCAUGUGGAAAGCACGAGCCGGGAAUGGAAAGACCGGUACAAGCGGGGUAGGUGUACAAUAGGCAAAUCCGUUGUAUAAUCCGAAGACGUGAUGUGGAGCGAAAUAAAGUAGUGAAGCGUGUGAGCCAUGUGCCGAGAAAAGCUGCUAUUGUGUAAUGCGUGCCCGUACCGUAAACCGACACAGGUGGAUGAGGAGAGAAUCCUAAGGCCGGCGGAAGAAGCAUUGUCAAGGAACUCGGCAAAAUGACCCCGUAACUUCGGGAGAAGGGGUGCCUGCGAGAGCAGGCCGCAGAGAAUAGGCUCAAGCAACUGUUUAGCAAAAACACAGGUCUAUGCGAAACCGAAAGGUGAGGUAUAUGGGCUGACGCCUGCCCGGUGCUGGAAGGUUAAGAGGAGAGGUUAGCGCAAGCGAAGCUUUGAAUUUAAGCCCCAGUAAACGGCGGCCGUAACUAUAACGGUCCUAAGGUAGCGAAAUUCCUUGUCGGGUAAGUUCCGACCCGCACGAAAGGCGUAAUGAUUUGAGCGCUGUCUCGACAAUGCAUCCGGUGAAAUUGAAGUACCAGUGAAGAUGCUGGUUACCCGCGCCAGGACGGAAAGACCCCAUGGAGCUUUACUCCAGUUUGAUACUGGGAUUCGGUACUGCACGUACAGGAUAGGUGGGAGACUUUGAACUAUGGACGCCAGUCUGUAGGGAGUCGCUGUUGGGAUACCACCCCUGUAGUACUGGGUUUCUAACCAUCUGCCGUGACCCGGCAGUGGGACAAUGUCAGGCGGGGAGUUUGACUGGGGCGGUCGCCUCCGAAAGGGUAUCGGAGGCGCUCAAAGGUUCCCUCAGAAUGGUCGGAAACCAUUCGAAGAGUGCAAAGGCAGAAGGGAGCUUGACUGCGACACCGACG